AGUCGAACGAUGAACCACCUUCGGGUGGGGAUUAGUGGCGAACGGGUGAGUAACACGUGGGCAAUCUGCCCUUCACUCUGGGACAAGCCCUGGAAACGGGGUCUAAUACCGGAUACUGACCUGCCAAGGCAUCUUGGCGGGUCGAAAGCUCCGGCGGUGAAGGAUGAGCCCGCGGCCUAUCAGCUUGUUGGUGAGGUAAUGGCUCACCAAGGCGACGACGGGUAGCCGGCCUGAGAGGGCGACCGGCCACACUGGGACUGAGACACGGCCCAGACUCCUACGGGAGGCAGCAGUGGGGAAUAUUGCACAAUGGGCGAAAGCCUGAUGCAGCGACGCCGCGUGAGGGAUGACGGCCUUCGGGUUGUAAACCUCUUUCAGCAGGGAAGAAGCGAAAGUGACGGUACCUGCAGAAGAAGCGCCGGCUAACUACGUGCCAGCAGCCGCGGUAAUACGUAGGGCGCAAGCGUUGUCCGGAAUUAUUGGGCGUAAAGAGCUCGUAGGCGGCUUGUCACGUCGGUUGUGAAAGCCCGGGGCUUAACCCCGGGUCUGCAGUCGAUACGGGCAGGCUAGAGUUCGGUAGGGGAGAUCGGAAUUCCUGGUGUAGCGGUGAAA
This 612-nucleotide ribosomal RNA is filed under the name Streptomyces coelicoflavus. RNAcentral's name for it is "bacterial SSU rRNA". It matches the Rfam family "Bacterial small subunit ribosomal RNA", at positions 60 to 686 of the family's 1533-position model. The record is from RNAcentral. Lineage: Bacteria; Bacillati; Actinomycetota; Actinomycetes; Kitasatosporales; Streptomycetaceae.